ACGAGACCUCAGCCUGCUAAAUAGUUACAUCAAACUUAGUUUGACGAUAGCUUCUUAGAGGGACUAUCAGUGUUUAACUGAUGGAAGUUUGAGGCAAUAACAGGUCUGUGAUGCCCUUAGAUGUUCUGGGCCGCACGCGCGUUACACUGAUGCACUCAACGAGUCUACCUUGGCCGAGAGGCCUGGGAAAUCUUGUUAACUUGCAUCGUGAUAGGGAUAGAUUAUUGCAAUUAUUAAUCUUGAACGAGGAAUUCCUAGUAAACGCAGAUCAUCAAUCUGCAUUGAUUACGUCCCUGCCCUUUGUACACACCGCCCGUCGCACCUACCGAUUGAAUGGUCCGGUGAAGCCUCGGGAUUGCGAUGAGUUUCCUUCAUUGGGAGUUUGUCGCGAGAACCUGUCUAAACC
This 406-nucleotide ribosomal RNA is filed under the name uncultured eukaryote. RNAcentral's name for it is "bacterial SSU rRNA". It matches the Rfam family "Eukaryotic small subunit ribosomal RNA", at positions 1335 to 1765 of the family's 1831-position model. The record is from RNAcentral.